GUUUCCGUAGGUGAACCUGCGGAAGGAUCAUUGUCGAAACCUGCCCAGCAGAACGACCCGCGAACACGUGAUGCCCCUCCCGGUUACGCCGGACGGGGGGAGCAGCGGCGUAAAAACCCGUUCCCCCCCGCCCGGAAAAAACGAACCCCAGGCGCGGUCCGCGCCAAGGAAAACGAACAACGGAUCGGGCGCCCCGCGAGGAAGCGCCCCCCGAAAUCAAUCUUAACGACUCUCGGCAACGGAUAUCUUGGCUCUCGCAUCGAUGAAGAACGUAGCGAAAUGCGAUACUUGGUGUGAAUUGCAGAAUCCCGUGAAUCAUCGAGUCUUUGAACGCAAGUUGCGCCCUAGGCCGUCAGGCCGAGGGCACGCCUGCCUGGGCGUCACGCACCGAGUCGCCCCCACCCCUCUACUCACCGAGGCGGCGGGAGCGGAUAAUGGCCCCCCGUGCGCUCCACGUGCGCGGCCGGCCCAAACACAGGCCCCGGGAGGCCGACGUCACGAUCCGUGGUGGUUGUAAAAGACACGCCCUCGAAACCGGAUCCCGUGCACGCCGCGCCUCGCCCAGGGCCACAGCGACCCCCAAGGGCCGUCCCCGGACGGCGCCCACUCUGCGACCCCAGGUCAGGCGGGACCACCCGCUGA
RNAcentral lists this ribosomal RNA (642 nucleotides) under Corydalis turtschaninovii. RNAcentral describes it as "eukaryotic LSU rRNA". The stretch from base 228 to 383 matches the Rfam family "5.8S ribosomal RNA". The record is from RNAcentral. Lineage: Eukaryota; Viridiplantae; Streptophyta; Magnoliopsida; Ranunculales; Papaveraceae.